CGCGUAGGCGGUGGCGCACGUCCGGGGUGAAAGCUUUCGGCUCAACCGGAAAAGGGCCUUGGAUACGGCGCUACUCGAGGGGGGUAGGGGCAGGUGGAACUUCCGGUGGAGCGGUGAAAUGCGUUGAUAUCGGAAGGAACGCCGGUGGCGAAAGCGACCUGCUGGACCCCUUCUGACGCUGAGGCGCGAAAGCCAGGGGAGCAAACG
RNAcentral lists this ribosomal RNA (207 nucleotides) under uncultured bacterium. Its description in RNAcentral is "partial 16S ribosomal RNA". It matches the Rfam family "Bacterial small subunit ribosomal RNA", at positions 568 to 774 of the family's 1533-position model. The record is from RNAcentral.